AGUAUGAAUGGUGGAGCUAGAGCGGAGUUUGGCGCAGCAAUUAAGAAAGUUAGUAAGAGGGGAGAGAAUGAGGCAAAGCGCUUAAGUGUCUUGCUGUGUGUUAGAGGAUGACUUUUACGUACUGCAAAAGUUUGAAAGUGAAAGAAAAUGUGUCAGGUCAUAUUGGUGCAAAAGCGCGCCUCACAAAUGUUGGCUGAAUUUUAAAAAAGAAACAGAAGUGCAAAUUUUGCGCCUGACCGCCAGUGAUGUGGGGGCUAAUCUGGAGCACAAUGGGAUCUAAGAGUGCCACCUGGAAACUAAUAGUGUUUAGGCUCAAGAGGAGUUGAGUCAUAGCCUCUGUUUCCUCUGAGUCAUGACCUCGGACCGGCCCAGUCUGGAUCAAGAAGCAGAAGAGACCAAAGGCUGGGGUUUUCACUGAAGACUUUCUGAUGAAGAUGAGGAUGAAAAGAGACAAACUGGGCUAAGACACAGGAUUGAGAAACAGCUUCACCGCAGGACUAUCAGGCUGGUUUCCACCACAUUCACCCAUCCUGACAAGCGAUGGGGAAACCACCCCAGCAAAAUUCAUCUGUUGAGAUGUUGCUGAGGCAGUGUGUGGUUAUGACCUCAUCAUCAUGAGAUGGAAAGGCUGGUGACUGCAGGCAGCAACAGAAGAGGUGGUGCUGUGUUGUGGUUUGCAGCUGCUGGUUCUUGGCAAAAUAAAUUUUGCUGUGAAGAUGCCUCAGGGAAUUAUAUGCUCAAGGUUGAAAGGAUGAACAAAAAAAGAAUUCAAGAGGUAUUUGUGAGUCAGACUGUGUUUGUCUGUAGUUGUGACUUAGAUGAAUCUUAGAUCAAAUUUUGAGUAAUCAAUGCAGAAACUGUUUAUUAUUUUUUUUUUUUAACUUGAUCAGAAAUAGAUUUUUUGACACCUGUUUCAUAGCUUAAGUCUUAACUUGUUGAUUGAGGCUGCUGGGUAACACUACAGUGUUUUAAAGCCAUUAACAUGCUGUCAUUCAUGCGUUGAGUGGCUUUCAUGGCUAUUGUCACACAUUAAAACCACAUUGUAAAAUUUCAACAUGUAGUUAUUACUGAGAACAUGUAUCAUUCAUUAGGAAUGUGCACACAUUUUUAUGUUAGGAAGAGUGUUUUUUCCACUUGUCCUGAGAUAAACCGAAAACUGUUUGUUAGCCUGAAAGGGACAAAAACUUCAGGAUGUUUGAACGGAAUUUGAUCUACCCUGAAUCACAGGAACACUUCAACAACAUCAGGGAACCUUGUUAGACAGGGUUAAAGAGUUUGCUUAACAGGGGAGCCUCUUUGUAGGAAUUUAAUGACUCAGCUUCUGUUUGGAAAUUCCCAGACCCUAGGGAGCUCCUCUUUUCUAUGUUAAGAAGAAAGAUACAGCCAUUGCUUUUGUCCUUUAUAUGGCUAAUAUGUAAUGUCUGGUAUUAAGAGAGUGACGUGUGGAGAGGAAUGGGCAGUACACACGAUUGGGCAGAAACUUUAGUGAGCUGAUGUGAGUCAUGCUCCAACCUGACACCAGGUUGACUGACUUUGUAAAGAUGGGUGAUGCAUCACCACUUUCUUCUGCACAUGUAACAGGUGCUGCCAUUACAUUUUCCAAUAUAAAGUGCUACCAAAUUACAGCCUCCUGUUUGGGCCAACUUUACAUGUAGUAUUGCCCUCAGAGUCUUGACUUUCUAGGCCUGAUGUGGAAGCUUGUUGCACCUAUUUUUUCCCCCCAUAUUGGUUUUACUCUUUGUGUGCAAUAGGAUUAGCAUCAUACUACUAAUUAUAUUAGUCUUCACACUUAGUAGUCUCAAGGCAAAAAUAAGAAUAUCAGUAUCAUUUACUGCAGUGCAACUAAGUUUGUGGUGUGAAAAAGACAACAAUAAAGACACUGCGAUUAGCAAAAGAAAAAGCCCUUCAAUGUUUUCAGGUAUCAUUCCUAAACAGAGGAGGCCACCUGUGAAAUGGGUACAGUACUCAGUUUGCCUGCUAACCAUUAAAAGAUGCAUACACCGUUUUUAUUUCACCAAAUUACUUAUCUAAAAAAAUGUUUUCACAAAUGAGCACUUUACAUCUACAUUAUAAUUAAUAUUUAAAUGGGAAUAAAUAGCAAAAAACAUAUUUUGCUUCUUCCACUUCACUUGGUUUAGGUUUACUUUGACCCCUGCUACAGCCAGGCGGUGGUAUUGAGGGCCAAGCAGGAAGCAGGUUCUCAAAGCCACAUCUCUUUCCCCAAGUACUACACACACUCAGAUUGUAAAUGAUAGCACCAAGUGUAAGAGUUUAAAGUAACCAGAAAACUUAGCUGUGCAAAAAAAAUAUACAAUAUUUCUCAAGUGUUGUGGAGUUAAAGUUUCAGGUUUCAAGGAAACUUUUCAGUAAAGUGACACUUUUUAAGACAAGUGGGUGAUUGGCCAGUAAACUGAGGAAUUUAAUGUGGUAUGGAAAUGCAGUUUGCUUCAAGUGUAAUUUCUUAUGUAAUAUGCCAAAUAAAAUACAAAUACAAAGGAGGGGGCAGGAACAGAGCUCAGUUUGUUCAUGUAUGUAAUGUAGACAAAAAAAUUAAUUUAAAAAAAUGCUGAAAGGAAGGCUGUGUGUGUGUGUGUGUGUGUGUGUGUGUGUGUGUGUGUGUGUGUGUGUGUGUGUGUGUG
Archocentrus centrarchus (flier cichlid) is the source of this 2639-nucleotide long non-coding RNA. RefSeq lists it as uncharacterized. The record is from RefSeq and is a predicted model, not a curated record. The transcript is spliced from 6 exons. NCBI's taxonomy places the organism in Eukaryota, Metazoa, Chordata, Actinopteri, Cichliformes, Cichlidae.